AAAUUCUCAGGAUCGAGUAGCU
This 22-nucleotide small nuclear RNA is filed under the name Arabidopsis thaliana (thale cress). RNAcentral describes it as "snRNA_01956". Lineage: Eukaryota; Viridiplantae; Streptophyta; Magnoliopsida; Brassicales; Brassicaceae. The record is from RNAcentral.